Molecule: ribosomal RNA, 373 nt
Filed under: uncultured organism
Description: partial 16S ribosomal RNA
Rfam family: Bacterial small subunit ribosomal RNA
Source: RNAcentral
GUAGGGGGGGCGAGCAUUAUCCGGAUUUAUUGGGCAUAAAGGGCGCGUAGGGCGGCGAUUUAAGUCAGAUGUUAAAGACCUUGGCUCAACCAGGGUUCGCAUUUGAUACUGAAUUGCUAGAGGUCAGGAAAAGAAAGCGGAACUCACAGUGUAGCGGUGAAAUGCGUAGAUAUUGUGAGGAACACCAGUUGCGAAGGCGGCUUUCUGGACUGAAUCUGACGCUGAGGCGCGAAAGCGUGGGGAGCGAACGGGAUUAGAUACCCCGGUAGUCCACGCCGUAAACGGUGUUCACUAGGUGUAGGAGGUAUCGACCCCUUCUGUGCCACAGAUAAUUCGUUAAGUGAACCGCCUGGGAAGUACGACCGCAAGGUUA